GGUAUUGAUUGGUGCUUGCAUCAUGAUUUACAUUUGAGUGAGUGGCGAACUGGUGAGUAACACGUGGGAAACCUGCCCAGAAGCGGGGGAUAACACCUGGAAACAGAUGCUAAUACCGCAUAACAACUUGGACCGCAUGGUCCGAGCUUGAAAGAUGGCUUCGGCUAUCACUUUUGGAUGGUCCCGCGGCGUAUUAGCUAGAUGGUGGGGUAACGGCUCACCAUGGCAAUGAUACGUAGCCGACCUGAGAGGGUAAUCGGCCACAUUGGGACUGAGACACGGCCCAAACUCCUACGGGAGGCAGCAGUAGGGAAUCUUCCACAAUGGACGAAAGUCUGAUGGAGCAACGCCGCGUGAGUGAAGAAGGGUUUCGGCUCGUAAAACUCUGUUGUUAAAGAAGAACAUAUCUGAGAGUAACUGUUCAGGUAUUGACGGUAUUUAACCAGAAAGCCACGGCUAACUACGUGCCAGCAGCCGCGGUAAUACGUAGGUGGCAAGCGUUGUCCGGAUUUAUUGGGCGUAAAGCGAGCGCAGGCGGUUUUUUAAGUCUGAUGUGAAAGCCUUCGGCUCAACCGAAGAAGUGCAUCGGAAACUGGGAAACUUGAGUGCAGAAGAGGACAGUGGAACUCCAUGUGUAGCGGUGAAAUGCGUAGAUAUAUGGAAGAACACCAGUGGCGAAGGCGGCUGUCUGGUCUGUAACUGACGCUGAGGCUCGAAAGUAUGGGUAGCAAACAGGAUUAGAUACCCUGGUAGUCCAUACCGUAAACGAUGAAUGCUAAGUGUUGGAGGGUUUCCGCCCUUCAGUGCUGCAGCUAACGCAUUAAGCAUUCCGCCUGGGGAGUACGGCCGCAAGGCUGAAACUCAAAGGAAUUGACGGGGGCCCGCACAAGCGGUGGAGCAUGUGGUUUAAUUCGAAGCUACGCGAAGAACCUUACCAGGUCUUGACAUACUAUGCAAAUCUAAGAGAUUAGACGUUCCCUUCGGGGACAUGGAUACAGGUGGUGCAUGGUUGUCGUCAGCUCGUGUCGUGAGAUGUUGGGUUAAGUCCCGCAACGAGCGCAACCCUUAUUAUCAGUUGCCAGCAUUAAGUUGGGCACUCUGGUGAGACUGCCGGUGACAAACCGGAGGAAGGUGGGGAUGACGUCAAAUCAUCAUGCCCCUUAUGACCUGGGCUACACACGUGCUACAAUGGAUGGUACAACGAGUUGCGAACUCGCGAGAGUAAGCUAAUCUCUUAAAGCCAUUCUCAGUUCGGAUUGUAGGCUGCAACUCGCCUACAUGAAGUCGGAAUCGCUAGUAAUCGCGGAUCAGCAUGCCGCGGUGAAUACGUUCCCGGGCCUUGUACACACCGCCCGUCACACCAUGAGAGUUUGUAACACCCAAA
RNAcentral lists this ribosomal RNA (1384 nucleotides) under Lactiplantibacillus plantarum subsp. plantarum. RNAcentral describes it as "bacterial SSU rRNA". It matches the Rfam family "Bacterial small subunit ribosomal RNA", at positions 68 to 1425 of the family's 1533-position model. The record is from RNAcentral. Lineage: Bacteria; Bacillati; Bacillota; Bacilli; Lactobacillales; Lactobacillaceae.